This is an RNA transcript of Bubalus bubalis (water buffalo), 17541 nucleotides long. It is a transcript of the gene named alanine and proline-rich secreted protein Apa, with no coding region annotated. NCBI's taxonomy places the organism in Eukaryota, Metazoa, Chordata, Mammalia, Artiodactyla, Bovidae. The transcript is spliced from 2 exons. The record is from RefSeq and is a predicted model, not a curated record.
GGCACACACGCGCGCGCACCGCCGCUCUCCGUCAGACACACUGGAGGGAAAGGUCAAACUAAAGGCGAGGGAGCCGGGAGGCCGGAGGGAGCCGCCGCCGCACGCCAUGACGGACUCGGCCGAGGCGGGUUUCUCGCCGCCGACGCCGCCGAGCCGCUGCUCCCGCCGCGCCCCCGACCCCCCCUUAGCGCCCCGCGCCCCCUCCCCCGGGGCUCGCGCGUCCCCGCGCCCUCUCCUCCCCGCUGCGCUCCGGGCGCGCGUCGGGCCCCGGGCGCGCGCCGGCUGGAGCGGGCGCGGGCGGGUGGGAGGCCCCGCGGCCUCCGCGCCAAGACCCCCCCGACCCCCUCGGCUGGUCCCUCGGCCGGAGCCCGCCAGUUUUGCAGAUUGAAAAACUGGUUCUGAGUAAAGAAACUUAAAGUCACACAGCCAGUACAUCAGUGGAAGUGCAAAGAUUUGACUGAGCAGGUGAGUAGGGACACAAUGUAAGCAGACUGUAUGGAAGAUAAUGACUGGGAGAGUCAUUCAUACCUCUUGUUCUUAGAAGAGGAUUCUUUUUCUCAAAUAGAGCUUUAAGUAGAUUUAUUAUUAGAAAAGUUUGAAAAAUUGAAAACAGUAUUUAAAACUCGAUAGAUGUACAUGGAUCAUCUCUGAAGAUUGAAACAGCUUUGACAUUAAGACAUGCACAGUGAGACGUAUGACAUCCACUUGUGUUUCGCGUGUAGCGAUAUGUCUGGUACAUAAGUGUGUGGAUAUUUACUCUGUGUGACUAAGGUUCACAGUUAGGGUCUUAGAUCCUUAUUUGCUGAAAUCUCCUUUUGCUUGUAAGUUGAGGCCCAAGUUGGCAAUUUUCCUUCCAAGUGUGGAUUUUGAAAAUAAAGUCGACUUGUUGAAAUGUGACCUGCCUCAUCAUGAUGCAUUCAUAUCCAGGAUUAUGGGAAAUUUUCAGUGUCGUAGUUUGGCUGAUGGUAUCCAUGAACCAUGGAAAGCACUCUCUAAGUGAGUUAAGUGGACUAAGUGAGUUAUUAGUUUUGUUUUGGGUGCAGUUCAUGGUGUUUAAGUCUAUAAAGCAGAGUUUGGAGCCUUUUGCAUCCUGUUGGCUGAAGAGACUCUGCCUUUCAGCACUUACCCAAGCGCUGUGGAACCACGGACCUGCUCAGCUUAUCCUGAUUCAAGUGGUCUAAAUGCUCAGGGUCGGCGCUGUGAUGACUGAUUUUGCCCCGUUUAUGACCUGGGACCUUCGGUGGAUGGUAUUUUGAGAAUCUAAAAAGAUCCUUAAAAAUCAUGAGACUCUAAAAAGCUGGCUGCCAUCAUCAGCUCACUGUCAGUGGUCAGCGAAUUUUAUUUUUAAAAAAUACAGGGAAUUCCCUGGUAGUCCAGCGGUCAGGAAUUUGAGCGCCCGCUGCGGGAGGAACGGAUCUGAUCCUUGGCCAGGGAACUGGGAUCCUACAUGCCGUGUGGUGCAGCCAGAAAAUUUUGAAAACUUUUUAAAAAUUAAAAAACUACAAACUUGUGACUGCCCUAUAGUUUAAUACAGUGAUCGUUUUGUCCGAAACACUGCCCUCCCUGCCUCCCCCUGGUAGUUUUUUGUUUGUGGUGUUUGCCUGUGCUUCACGGCGUGUGGAACCUCGUUCCCUGACCAGGGAGCCAGCGUGCACCGCCUGCGUUGCAUGUGCAGAGUCUUAACCACUGGACCUCCAGGUCUCUCCCCUCCGGGUUUGAGGCAUUCCUGGGCACGCUUUUUUUUUUCGAGUAAGUACAUAACAACUCAGUGGUUAUAUGUAGAUAUAUGGCACCCCCCUCGUGGAAAGCUUUCUUUGUUCACAACAAUAGUGGAGAAAAUGCAUAAUUACCCUGAAAUGGUGAACUAAAUUAGCCAUUAACACUUCCUGGGAUUUCAAUGUAACCUUCUUUCUCCACCCAAAAGACAACAUGCGUUCAGUCCAUAAUAUCACUGAUCCAUUUUUUUCCCCUCCCCCCCUUUUUUCCAUUUUUUAUGUGAAUAGUUUUUGGGGCUUUGAUCUGUAAUGGCGAUUAGGGUAACAGAUUAGUCCUUGCCUGCCCAGGACUGUCUGGGUAUUAAAACUGAUAGUCCCUUUCAGUUCCAGACGAGCCCUAACACAGGGCUGUGUUGUCAAUGGGCUUUGGCCAUGUUAUUGGAACUGUGAUACCACCUGGAUCAGUGGUUAGGAGAAUUUAGUGUGCCUCAGAACAACUUGGAAGGCUUGUAAAACACUGAUUUCUGCGUCUGAUUCCCCCUAAUUCCUGAUCCAGUGGGGUUGGGGUAGAAGCCUGAGAACUACUUUUCUUACAGUGUCAUGGGUAGUACUGAUGCUGCUGGUUUGGGGUUGAGCCAUGUAUAUACCGUGUGAGUAUAUGAUGAUGUUUUAUUAAGCUUUGUGGAGAAAGGAACUGGCUCUCUGCCUUGCAAGCCUAAGCACUGCCUACCCCAAACGGUGUUUGUGUGUCUGAGCAGUGAUCAUGCAGUGGCAAAAAACAACCCAUCCUGUUAAAAGUGACAGAAAUGGGGGAAAAGUUAAAAAAAAAAAAAGAUUAAAACCGGUCAUUUUUACACAAACAUGUAUCUGUAUAUACACACACAUACAUAUUUUAUAGUAAGUUUUCUAGGUAAACUUUCAUUUGAUAAUCCAUUUGAAUCUCAUAAAGUAUCUGACAUGGGUAGUUGCUUCCAGAGAACAUGUAAUUCAUUAUUAUAGCAGAACCGAUGUAAGCUGAGUGGAGUAGAGAUGAUGAUACCCACCCUGCCUGCCCCUCGGAGCUCACCAUGAAAACCCACAGGGAGGUGUGAGCACGCCAUGCAGACGUCAGAUGUCACGGUGACGAUUUCCAUGCUUUUCAAUGCUCUGCUCUUCACCGUCUCACUGGUUGUCUGGUGUUCAGUUUGCCAGGCUGGUCUUUCCUCACAGGUGGUCACCUUGUAGAUGGUUCCUUGAGAGAGGCUCACAGUCAGACCACCUGUCCAGUUUGUACCGUCUUCCUCACCUGUAGACACCUGCUGUACUAACCUCAGGACUCUAGUUAUACGGCUAACUUGAGAAAUCAUAUGAAAGCACGUUCAAGCCUCUGUUCCCAACAGCAGUUGGCAAUAAUGAGUAAGUCAUAAAUAAGCCUCAUAGAACAAGAAGCAUAUUGUUUUGUACUAAUGCCAGGAGUAAGAACGGUUGCUCUCAAAUAUGAAAUAGAUUUGUGUCAAGUAUGGAAGUCGUUAUGCACACCAAAACGUGUUCAUCUUUAGCCUCAGCUGUACCUUCAUUAGAUUCAACCUGCUUACUCUGUUUUUAAUGAUGAAUACAAGAGCGAAAAGAACAUUUGUGAAAUACAGGUUACAUAUUGUAAUUGCAAUUUGUGUCUAGAUACUUUAUUAGAAUAUUCAUAAUUGAUUUUAUUAAAACAUACUUAAUUAUUCAACUUCCAUACAUUUAGUUUUCAACUGUCUUCAAGAACACAUCAUAAACAAAUUACAGCAUUUGACAAAAUCCCUAACAACACUGAAGAAAAGAUUUUAUAUAUUAUAUGUGAGAAUUAAAUAUAGUAGCUCUGAUAAAGAUGUCAGUGUUUUGAUCAACCUUUAAAAAAGAAAAACAGGGAAAUUGUUUGAAGGAGAGACUUGCAAUCGCUGGUUCAUUGCAACUCAGUAUGCAGCAUCCUAAUUAGUCAAGUAUUGUGUGCCUACCUGGGCAUGAAAUAACUUUUUUUUCCUAAUUUAAAUCUGGAAAUUUUCAAUUGUAGAACAGCUUGAAUACCCUUUGUUGGAAAUAGCCACUGGGUUCUUUUAAGUAUUUGUCUUCAGAAACAAUGAAGGUCGUCUUGUAUCCAUAGAGACCACAUGCACUUUCCUCAUUAUUUCUAGCAUUGUUUCUGUAAUGGGUAGUUAUUUAUGACAUUUAAAGCAAAAAAAAAAAAAAAUGCAGAAAGCAACAUUAAAUAUUACCACAGUAAAUAUCAGUGACCGAAAUCACUUACUCCAUAGUUUCUCAAAGAAAUUAGAAAUUAGAAAAUCAGUAGCCUUUCAAAAUUGUGUGUAUUGAUGUGUUCAGUAGGGUGUCUGUCUGUGUAUGUGUGUUCAUUUCUUGGAAAUCACUGAAACUUAAUUGUAUACUCUAAUUGUUUUAACUGGGUUUUUUUUUUUUUUUAAAGAAACAGUAACUUCACGUACUUUAGAUGAAAGCAACUCUUGGUUUUGGUGGCAUGCCGAUUUUUUUAUAUGUCACCUAAUCUUCCUUCUGUCUUUCAGGAAAGUAGUGUGGUAACAAAACGAUUUUAGCCUAUCACUGCUUUAUAAACAAAGCCAAGGUCAGGAGUUCAUUUGCUUAUUACCUACCUUGCUUUGUUAUCUCCAUGGACUGUAUGUGCAUCUCUAACCUAACUCAGCUGGGGACGGGCAAAGAAAGUAUUAGAGUCUUAGUACAGAUCCACUGCCAGUGAAACCCACUGUAUUAGUGACCUAGAUUAGGAUGCUUUUGUUAAUGGAAGAGUCACGUUUAAUGAUAGCAUCAGGGCAGCAGGCAUACCUUCAGACUGUUUCAGGCAAAUGUAUGGUCUCUCUGAUUAUUCGGAUUGUCAUUCUGGUGUGUUUAUUAUUAAUUCUGAAACUCUGGGUUACGGGAGAGAAAACUUCAUUUUUUGCACAUAUCAAAUAGAAAGUGUAUCUUCGUAUAGAAUAACUGGGUCUUUAAUGUUACUUUAAUGUUUUUAAUGUAUCUUUAAUGUUACUAAUUUGCCAAGAUAACUUUACAAUGCAUAUUGUCUUUUGUAAUAAUUAGGAAAAAUUGCUGUUGAUAAACCACUUAUCUCUUGCUAAUGAAUUUCAUUAAUCAUAUCAUUUUUUUGUCCCAAAAUGUCACAGAUAGCGUUCAGGACUAAAAGGCCUAACAAGCAUUUAGAGAUGGUGACCAGCAAUACUUGUGUCGAUGCCCUCUGUUAACUUGUGCAGAAAGUCUGUUGUUGUAAACAUCCCCGACUGGAAGCUGUACCACACAGCUAAGCUUUCAGUCAGAUGUUUGCUGCUACCGGCUAUUCACAGACGUCAUUUCAGUGAAGUUACAUCUUAAGAGGUAGAAUUGUGGCGGGGGGGAACGUGCCUGUAAAGUGUGUGGAUGAACACCAGGAAUCUUUGGGGUUCUGCCUUCACUGCGCUCUGUGUGAAUGCAUGUUUCAUGCCGAGUAGUGUGGGAUGCUCUCUUCAAAACAGGAUAUCCUGGAGCGGAUGCCAGCCGAGCUUCCAGACUUAAAGAUGCUGCUGCUGCUGGGCCUUAGAGAAUUCUGUUAAAAAAAAUUUUUUUUUUUCCACUAUGGAUUCUUAUUUCUGAUUUUUACCCUGUCAGUGAACUCACAUUCUUUAUUGCCUUUCCAAGUAGGCUAGAGUUUGACUUCCCAGCAGUUCAGAAGACCGAUUUCCUCCUUUAGAAAUUCUGUAGACGUUCUUGAGAGUAAAUUUAUCACCACCGCCCCACCCUACCGCCCAGCAGUAUAUAACCUAGAAAUUUUCAGUUUUCUCUGUAGUGAAGAAAUGUGUGUAUAAACUUUGUCUCUCGCCUCUCAACAACCCCCCACCCCAGCUUCCUGUUCUCCACCCUGAGUGAUGUCACAGCUCCUAGUCAGAACUGUCCUCUAAAAACUUUUGCAGGACCUCAAACUUCUGAGCCUUUUUACAGCAUUCACCGUUGGUUAUAUUUGUCUCAGUUUAUUGAGUAUGUUUUCCUGCGUAUUCUCAGGUCAUCACUUGGCUUUUCUCUUUCUUAUUCGCAUGUUGAUGCCUUGUGAGCAGAUGCACUGAGUCUAUUUUUUUGGGUUUCCCCACAGAGCUGAAGAAUACAGGGCUUUUCUCACAGCCGGCAUUCAAUGCAGACUGUUGGUAAUGUAUAAUUUUACAACAGCUCUUUCUCCACGUUUUGAAAAUUUGCUUUCUUACCUCUAUUUGUCUUGUAGACACUGGAAAACAUUUCUGUUUUGUUGAAACCUUUCUCUUCAGUAAAGCUUUAGUAUUUUUAUCAUGUAUUAAUAUUAAACUGCUGAACAUAUUACUGUAUAGGGCUCAGGGCAUAAUUAAACCAAAAGGUAAAGCCCUUGGUAACUUUUUACGUGCACAUCUUUCUGAGGGGAGGACAUCAUAUCCUUAUGAUUAUCCGUUUUCCUGGCCAUCAGCACCAAGUAGGGCACCUUGCGUGCACAGGGCUGCACCAGCGGUUUUGUUUUGCUGCAGGGGCUACUGUGUCCUUUCUGCAGAGGAGCAGGUGACAGUUUGGGGCAUCUUGUAGCUGCCCAGAUGUGUUCCUGCAGCAGCCCCACUUCUUAAACACUCCUUCGCCAGAGUGCUAGUUUACAAGCCUGAUGUGGCCAGCGUGGAGGAGGGGGAGGAGGGUGCUGAGCUGCUUCAGACACAGGUGGCUCUGCAACUUGAAGUAUAAUUUUCAAGCUUGAGGAUUCACUUGCAGCAAGUGUCCCUUCCUGCUGAACUCUUAGUAAAGCAGGUUUCUUAUGUACUCCUUGACCCUCUGAUGUAGGCCUCAGAGUCCAGAUAGCAGCAAACAGAUGGGGCCAUUUGGGCUCUGAGAGCCCGAGGCAUGUCCCCUCAAAGGGUAGAACAAGUCCUCUGCUAACAGGGUUCUGUUAGACAAGGUGACAGUGUUUCCUAUGAAAAGUUGUGUUACACAGCCUUGAGAUUCAGUAAGAUGGAUAGAAACUGCCCAGUUUAAUAAUUUGCCUGGCUGGAUUUGAGAGGCUUGUUAAAAUGAUAGUCCAGAUCUGUGCUAAAAGGAGGAUGCGUGUCUUGCACAAAGCUGUCACGCUCUGCCCAGCCCAGCCCCUCACCCCUGGCUGCAGGAUUAAUGUACAAUCUGUGUUACAUAACAUUUGUUCCAUGUUAUUCUGCCCUGAUGAGGUGAAUCAGAGGCCAUGUCAGCUUUAAUUCUGGAUGCCCUUGCCUCAGUGUACUGGAAUACCACCUUAUGAAAGUCAUCUGCAGAUGACUUCUUUAUGUUUUAAUUUGGAAGAACCACAGACUUCCCAAAUGACCUGCCAAUGUAGCAAUUGACUGUAUAGGAUGCUUUAAAAUGUUUGAGCAUUAGUUUUUGCUAAUAAACCUAUAACAGCUUGUCUCCCCACAUUUUAACUUAGUAUUGAGGAAGAAGUGUGUGGUCUUUAUUGACAGGUCCCAGAAAGCUCAGAAAUUCUUUCCUAAGAAGGUAUUUUGAUUGAAAGUAAAACAUUUUUAGUUGCUGAGUAGUAUUCUGAAAAUGACAGGCUUUUUUUCCUUAGCAUUUGCUUUGAGAUUUCUAAGGGAUUACUUUUUAAAAGCAAAACUGCAAAAUUGUGUCUGCAGGUUCAUUUCCAGUUAGACACAUUUGUGUGCAGAUGUUCCCUGUUGAAGGUACGCUGUUCGACAGGUCCUCAUUGGUCUUGGUGCCGGAAUCCCUUUUACUCUGACUGGCUCCCUCCAUUCCUCUGGAUAAAGCUUUAUUCAUUGAGUGAAUGUACCUCUAUUUGCGGUGGGUAUUCAGGGGAAAAAAAGUUUCAAGUGUGAGUCCGAACUUAAUCACUUUUCAAAACUAUUCUGUUUUAGGUUGUCUCUGCCAGUUUCCGGCCUGGUUCCUUAUGGGUGGACAGUGUGGUGGGUGUUUUGAUGUUGGGUGGGGGUUUUUUUCUUCAUUCUGUAGCAUAUUACAAACUUCCUGACAAUUUGAUGUUCACUGCUCUUUGCUCUGGCUCUCCAGCAUGUUUGGUAACACCGUUAUUAAUGCGUUGGUUUUCAAAUAAUAGCAGGUAUCAGAAUUACUUGGGAGAGAUUGUUAAUUAAAAUACUGAUCGCUGGGCCUUGCGAGACUUUCUCAUUCUCUAGGUCUGCGGUGAUGCUUGCUUUUCCUAAAUGCCCACGUGCUGCCGAUGCUGCUGUCCUAAGUCUAGGCUUCAGAACCAUGGAGCUCAUCUUCCGUUCAUCUCCCGGGUCAGUGGUGGUGGUUGUUCAGUCGUGUCCGGCUCUUUGUGACCCCAUGGACUAUAGCCCACCAGGCUCCUUUCUGUCCAUGGGACUUCCCAGGCAAGAAGACUGGAGUUGAUUACCCUUUCCUUCACCAAGGGAUCUUCCCGACCCAGGGAUCGAACUCAUGUCUCUUGUGUCUCCUGCAUUGACAGGUGGUUCUUUACUACUGAGCCACCUGGGAACCCCUCCCUGUUCAGUAUCCAUGCCCAAUUAGCAACUGAAGAGAAAUGUGCAUACAAUCCCUAACUUAAAAACAUAUAGUAAUCCAAAAAUUUGUUUUGAAAAAGAUUUGUUGGAAAUCUGGGACCCAGACCCACUUUUCUCCCAGAGAAAGCAUCAUAUUCAUUGUCUAGCCCACAAAACCUGUUUGAAUAUAUUUGCAAAGAAAAGCAGAAGGAAAAGUAAUAGUGUUGCUGUGGAAUACUUGAAGCAAAAAAACAGUAUAUUUAGAGGAAAAAAAAUGUGUAUGUUUAAUCUUGAGAACUUGAGAAUUUAAUCAGAACUCCUGAUUUAAUCUUGAAUCAGGAAAAGUGGCCUGAAGAGACAGGAGGCCAGGUAGAGACAGGAGGUUCCCAAAGGUCCUGGAAGGCCUGCGAAAUUCCAGAGAUUACUUUCGAGUUUGCUGGCAAUCGUUCUGUUAUUUAAUUUUACUUCCAAGUUUGAGGAUUUUUCUCUUCUUCGAGGCAAGUGUAUUGAUCGGGCUGCUUUAAGUGCUUUGUAGAGGUAUCAGUGGUAGUAUUUUCUUAAUCAGAGGAAUCCAGAGAGACAACGGAUUCCUGGGAAGCAACUUAGCAACACUUGGGCAGGAGGAGGAGGCCCUGGGUCAGAGUGUGGGAGACGUGUUCCUGAGGUGAACGUCCUGAGGCAGGAGCGUGGGGAGGAGAUGGGGAGAGGCUGGGGGCAAGGAGGCUGCCGCGGGGCCCUGAGCUCCUCACAGGUGUGCUGCUAACUUUGUCUUCGACUCGAAACAGGAAGCUCUUUCCUGAGGAAGAAUGGGUUCCCAAUGUGCCAUCCCGGCCAUCAGGCAGGUUCCUGUAAAGGCAGGCUGGCUUGUUUGGAAGGGAAGGCUGUAAACCCAGCCACAUGUAGGUCUGGAACAUUCAUGAGACGUCUGCUAUAUCACCACCAGUUAUGAGAAGAACAUCAUUUGUGCCUUCUCCCCUGGAUUCUAAACCUUGUCUCAGAAAUACCUCUUGACUGGACUUUUACCUCAUUCAUGUCAAUCUUUGUACCUCCUGUUCUUUUUUCAACAGAUUCUACAAAGUUAUCUUUUUAAAAAAAUCAUAUAAAUUAUUUAUCAUAUAUCCCUUAAUUUAAAUUUGAGUCUCAAGGAAAGCACCGGUGCAAAUACGGUAAAGGAUUGUGUAAGUCCUGCUUUAAACCAAGUUUUCAGUUCAUGUAAACAUCCUACACUCAGCUGUAACACACGAGUCGGCUGGGAGGUGGAUGUUUACUUCAGCUGACUUGGACACUCAACCAUUAACACGGAUAGAGGAUAUGGCAAAAAUAGUACAUAGAGGCUUGAUUUUUUUUUUCUUUUAAUGUAAUUACUGUAAACUUUCAUUACUGUCAUAUCUUUGCAGUUGUAUUGUAUCUCUAACAUGACGUGAGACUCGGGGGUUGGGCAAAGGAAUGCCUCACUGGGGUGGUGGCGUGCCGGCCGUGUGGCGCUCGCGCUGUGCUCCGACAAGCAGGGGCUCUGACAACAGCCCCUGGAGCCGCCUGGGCUGUGCCGGACAGUUUGCUGUGUGAUAGGGAGGAGGGAAAGGCGCUGCUUCACACCUCAGUGCUUUUCUCAUCUGCAAAAUAGGUAUGGUAUCCACUUCACAGGAUCGUUGUAAGGACCGACCUCUGUGAUGAGUGCAUAGUGGUUCAUUAGUCAGUGCCUGUCACGUUAAGUCCUGGUAAAUGCUAACGCGCUAGCUGUUGUUCUGCCAGCUAGAAUGCCUAAUAAUAGUACAUAGCCUAUUUUAAGUGUUCAGUGGAUAAUUGCUGUUCUGUUUAAAGUAGAUCAGACUCAUUUUUAUUUUAGCAAUAAAGACGAUACCAGCUUUCCAAUUUAAUGGAAAUGGUUUGAAAUCACUGUGAUUUAGUGGUAGGGUUUUGAAGCCCAGCUUCUUGAACUCAUAUCCUGGUACUACCGCAUACUAGGUGUGUUACUUUGGGAAAAUUAUUUCUCCAUUUCCUCAAUCUGCUAAAUUGGGAUUCUAAUAGUACCUCCCUAAUAGGAUUGUUAUGAGAUUAAAUGAGUUAACGUAAUAAAUAAGUUAAUAGCAGUCAAGUGUUGUAAUAAUUCCUGGUACACACUAAGCUCCUGAUAAAUGGUAGCUGUUAUUAUUGUUAUUUCAAAAACAUGUUUGUCAUCCUUUUUUUUCGGAGCAUAGUUGUGCCAAACAUUUAUAGAUAAUUUAAAGAUAAGCUAACACCUGAUAAUUAGUCCUAGAUAUAUAUUGUUUGAUUUAAAUGAUACUCUCAUAUUUCAUGCUCUUAUUGAAAACACUCUACUUAAAAUUAACUUUCUAUAACUUUGUUUUUCAGCCCCGUGAAAUCACCUCUGCUUUUCAUUUUUUGAUGAUACAUUCAUAUUCUAUAUAGGUGAAAAACAAAGCAAACAACAGCCACAAAGUCAAAAGUACUGAAGGACAUAUUGUUUUAACAGCUUGGCAAGUAUCCAUAAAUUUAUCUAUGCCUACAUUCAGAAUUAGAGUUCACAUUUGAUGCCCGUACUCAGGAAGAUGUCUAUGUUUAUGAAAAAGUCACGGUUAAAUAAAAAUGUGAAGUCCAGACAGGGAGACUUGUUCUUGAACAGGUGAGUGCUGUCUUUCUAAUUGUAUUCUAUUUGUUCAGUAAACUAAAAUUUUGUUUGUGUUUUUUAAGUUUCUUUUUAUGAAGUGGGUGUUAUUCUGUUAUGUACUUGGAUAUAAAACAUAUUUCAGUGAGUUUCACAUUUUCAUUUGAAACUUGUGAAAUGCUUAAGUUAUUUAAUAAUUUAUAAUACUUCAAGAGAAGUAUCAGUGCAUUAUGGAAGCAUCAUAUAACCUAAGGGUAGUUUUAUGAAAAGUGUUUCUCAUGUUUUCAGAUUAAGCAUAUUUGGAGGUUCCCCAUCAAUUUACCUUUGAACCUCAGUGAAUAAAAUAUAAAAUUUUUCUUUCAUAUUCUCCAAUAUGAAAAAGCAUUCAUUUAGCAUAUCAUUGUGGUUUAGGCUUCCAAACGCCUUAUAGGUUAAAUUCCUAAUUCAUAGUUUUUUAAUUUAUUGCUUUUUUCUCUUGUUUAAUAGUCCUGUGUUCGUUAUCUUUCUAUUACACACUUUUCUGAUUAUAGUAUCAUUUGGGCUAUCAGCUUUGUCUCACUUCAGCACUUAGAAAAAGCUCUAUGUGAAAGUUGAGUUGUAGUUGAGUCAAAAAAAUUUUUUUCACUUUAUCUUGUUUUAGUUAGUACUAUAAAGCACUCUGUAAUACUGAGCUGUCUCCCACAUUUUAGAUAAUACAUGCCUUGAUUUCUUGAAAAACUGUACAUUUAUUAGAAUUUUUUCUGAUGAACAUGUGCUUAUAAGUUUUAAAUGCUACAGAACCUGGAUAAAUGUUAAAAUGUUCCCAUUUUCCCCCAUUAUUUUCCAGUUGUCAUUUUUCAUUUCAUUGAUUGAUAGAGAACAUAAUAUAGUUGGAUUUUUAUAAUAUUUGACAUGUUCUGAAAUUAAACUCCAGCUAUUUUCUAUCAAGUUUGAAGAUUUGUUCUCUCUCCUCAUGAUUAUUUGCUAUGCAUUUGGCUUAAAUUACUUAGCUUCUUCCUGUUUCAUUACAUCUUUCUCAUCCCAUCAGUUCCCAAUAGUAGGAUUUCAUGCUUCCAAACAGAUGUCUCCUAUAGACUUCAGUAGUUGAAAACUGUCACUUAUCAUAGGGAAUCUGAUACACAUGAGUUUGCCUUUUAGUUUAUUCGUUUCAGUUUUUUUAAAAAAGCAGUUUUACCUUUUGAUAAAGGUAAGGUGUUAUGCAGUGGAAAAUAUUAUGCACAAUUAUAAUUAAUUAAAUGAUCUCUUUUUGUUGCUAAUGGCUUGUGAUAUUAAGGUUUGUUUGUUUUUAAACUAAAGAGAUGAUAGUAUCAAAUUCUGGCUUUUUCUGGCUUUCAAUGAAAAGUGGGAUUUAGUUUGUUUUGUUUUUAACUUUUAAGUUACCAGUGCAUUAUGAAACCAAUAGCAGUUUCACUUUUAGGAUUUUUAUAUUUAUAUAAAUUAGGAUUAUUUAUUAAUAUUAGCUUUAACUUCCUUUAACUUUAUGGAAGAGAACCUGUCCUGAGGAUGUUUGUAUAAUUUUAUGCAUAAUAUUCCUGUGAGGCUGAGUAAAACUCUUCCAUCUUAGCAGUAGAACCUGUUCAUCUGCUUAGCUGUCUUUCUUGGGAUUAACCAGAUGCAAUUAUAACUGGCUUUUAAGUGUUCCAACCUUUUCCUUGCUUAUUUCAAAGUGAUUCUUUAGAACUGUUAAGCUAUAUGAUCAGUAUUUGUCCUGCUGUCUAAAGCUACUUAAAUAUAGGAUUGGGGCUGUUGGUUUUUUAAAAGUAGUUUGAAAAAAUUUUUUUGCUACUUGUUCUUCAUGCAACUUUUAUAGGAGUUCAAAUUCCCUGGAAAAAUAAGGGUUUUGUAAGAUUUCUUUGACUGAAGAAGUAUAAAGGUUGCUAAAGGUAUAUAGUUGUCUUAAUAUUGACAUAAAUUUUCCUUAUUCUGUAGGUAUCUCUGAAAAUUAUUGUUUUAGGUAUUCUAUGUAUGUAUAAUAAUCAUUGUUUAAAAUUUUGUAGUAACAUAGUCAGUAGCACAAAAAGAUACCAUAUUAACCAGAAUACUGGGUUAUUUCAAGUAAAGAUAUGACUUUGAAUGAGAAACAGUUUGGGAAAUAGGUACUGGGAAAUCCUGCAUUCUGAGAUAACUUUCUAAAUAUGUGGUCAUUCUGUAUUAUUUAGACUAGAUGUGAAGAGUAUAUAAAAAUAUUCUCUUCACAGUCACAUACCACUGGCCGCCUUUUUCUUACACUCUGCAGUAUUAAUAAUGGUGAUCCUUCCAAGCUCUAGUGUUUUUACACAAUCAUACGUUGGUGAUAUAUGUGGGAUUUAUUAUACCAUGAAAUCAUACCAUAUCUUGUACUUUUUUCCAUGCUUUGGAAAACUUUCCGUAUCUGUGUCUCACGUAUUUUUUUUUAGUUCCGUAUAUAAAUACACCAGAUUCCCUGUUGGUGGAUGCAAAGGUUGCUCCAGUGCUUCUCUGUUGUAGGCUGUCCUGCAAAAUACAGAGUAUUUUGAUGCAUAUUUUGUGUGAUGAUUUCUGCAAGACCAUUUGUAAAGGUAUAAUCGCUGUGUCAGGGAACAUAUCUAUUUGAAAUCCUUACAGGAGCUGCGGAAUUGCUCUCCCAGGGGUCUGUGCCAGGUUAGCCUUCGGCUGGCAGUCUAGUGCUUGUUCCCUUGCACGCUUGCCCCCUCACACGCUUGCCCCCAGGGCAGUACCGUUCUUGUUUGUUUUUUGCUAAUCUGAUGGCUGCAAAAACGUAUCUCUUUAUUUUCAUUCCCUUGUCUAAGAGCAGAGUUAAUAUCUUUUCACAUUUCUGUUGGUUUUCUUUCUUUCAUUUUUAUUUGUUUGAUUGUUCAUCCCCUUAAGCCCAUAUUUCUUUUGAUUUGUUUAUUUGUUCUCAUUGUUUUCUAGGAACGCUAUAUAUUUUGGAUUGGGUUACUAUAUGUGUUGCAAGUACUUCCUCCUAAUCGGUCAUGUGUUUUUUAAAACUUUAUUUUAAACCAUUACAUAAUCUUUGGUAACUUCUGGGUUUUGUUGUCUUAGGAAGGCCCGUUGCACCCUCAGUAUUAUAAAUGCAGUAUUAUUAUGCUGAAUACAUUAUCCUUUAAUCUUUUGAAACUGUAUUUCAUCAAAGCUAAGAAAUACCGUUGUUGAUUUCAUGACCCAGUAUUUUAUAUACUGAGAUAGAGGGGACCAAAUCUUGAGGAAUGCACGGAGUAUUUUCUAAUCGUUUCAAAUUUUAUUUAUAGUUAUGUAAAGAUUUCUUCUAAGACAUUUAUUCUGAUCAAUUUUUUUAAAACUCUCAUAAAAAGGAAUGUCUGUUCUGUCAGUUCUUUAUCUUUGCAUCAGCAAUCCUCAGACCUUGGGUGUUCCCCUCAAUUUGUCCCUCAUUUUAAGACAGCUUUCAUUAUUACUGAGCAUUCAUCAGGCAGUAAUAAUGUAUAUGGAACAGUAUUUUACUAAAUACUUGCAUAAUGUUCUCAUCUAAGCCUUGCAGCAGCCCUUUAAGUGUUAUUAGUGUACUUUACAGUUGAGGAAACUGGGACUCAGAAAAGUUAAGUUGCUUUGUAAUUACAAACAGUUAAAGUGAUGGAGAUUCCUGAGCUCAGAGCAAGCACCCUGGGUACCGUACAUAAGUGGUUCAGAGAUGCAGGCUGUGGGUCUGAGACAUUUGUAGAGAUUGGAAAACUAAAUACAUGGGCGAGAUUGGCCCUCAGGUAUACAGUCAGUCUAGAAUGGAGCACGUAAAGUAUGUGAUUAAAUGUGAGAUUCUAAUUUUCAUACCUUUCAGAACCAGUGUAUGCCGUGCCUCCAGCUAAAUGUUUACUUUUGCCCUUAUUGAUAAGCUUGCUGAUACUCCGGCUCUUGUCAGUUUUCAUAUUGUUAUAGUUCUCGAAUCAGUAGGAUUUAUAACUGGAUCUUCCCUUUAAUGUGGGAAGUAAAUGCAGUGGUACCAGAAAUGUUGCAUAACCACUCUCUCCAUCUGUAUGUUAACCUAAACCAGAACAGGAGAUGAGAAUUGUACACUAGCAUGAGCAAAGUCAUUGCGUUUGAAUCACAGUCAGUCUCAAUAGUCAUCCUCCUUGAACCUUUAAAGUAUAUUUUUAAAACUGCAUACAGAGUUUUAUUAUAACCCUAAGGAAGUUAUUUAAGCUUUUUAUUUCCACACAAGCAUUUAAAGUUUUUGUUUCAAACUGAACAAACAGAAUGAACAGUCCGUACUGUUUGCUUGUGUAUAAAAAAUGAUUGACCAGAUCCCAGGCAUCUCGGACAGGGCAGGUAGAAGAGUCCCAGGGCUCGUGUUAGGAGCACUAACUCAAGUGCCUAGAAAACUUGCUGUCGCCGCGCCAUACAGGGAUUUGUGGCUGUAAGGGCUGGAGGCAGAGCUCUGGGUAGACAGAGUGCAAGUCUCUUCUCCAGUCCUGUGGCUAUCUGGGGUUUAAUCCAUGCCUUGCAGUUACUUCUGUGUGUAACAGGUUGAGUGUGUGAGAAGCAGUGUUCUUAAAAGUUGGCAAACCUGUUUUACUUGUUUUUCAACCUUUGCAGAUCAUUGCUUAUGAAACACUGGUAUUUACAGUAAAUAUCUUAUUUUAGAUGUAGGCCAGCCCCAUCCAACCGUUUGUCCUUCAACAACUUUGCCCUUUGGUAAGUUGGCACGUGGUUUGAGGUGGCCUUUGGUGAUGGAGUGUCUUAAGGGAAAAGCUAAAGGGAAGGAGCUAAAGGGAAAGGCAAGAAGAGAGUAACAUUUCCAGGAGAACGUGAUCAUACCGGGGAUGGACGAGCCCUUGAGAGGAGAAAGGAUUAUCUCUGUCUGUCUUAUGUGACCUUUGGCUAACUCCUGCAGCAUCCUGACUUCAUAGCCUUUUGUGUAAAUGAGAACAUUUGGAUGUUAUACACCCCUUUAUCCCUGUGACUCCAUCUGGUGAUCUCUUUUACUGUGCGUUUGUGUAUGUCAGUAGCUCACAGUGUUAAUAUUUAGCAGGUUGAGUCCUAGAUUAAACCACCUGAAUUCAUCUGUAAAACUUGGUUACCUGUCUCCUAAAUUGUAGCCGUAAUUUAAUUAGAUAAUCCAGAUAGUCCCUUAGUAUGGUAUCUGGCCCAUACUAAGCCCUCAGGAAAUAACUCGCUGUUCAAAACUCUGUUCAGAUGUCCUAAUGUUAGCUGUGUCUUGGGCCUCCCAGGUGAAAGGAGGGAGAGUUCCUCUCGUUGUGCCAUACACACGUCUUCCGCUGUCCUCUCAUUUAGCACCGUGCUAUGGGUGCUAGCAGCGCUGUUGAGCGCUGGUACGAAAAUCGUCACCAGUUUAUCUGCGUGUAGUGCUCCACUUAGAUUAUGAGCCCCUUGAGGACAGAAAUGAGCUUAUUUGUCUUCAUAAAUUCAGUGUCUGGCAUGAUAAAUUUUGUUGGAGGAAAAAAAGUUUAUUCCUGUUUAAAUAAGGUCCCCUCCUCUCUCAGAAGAAGAUAAUGUUGGAACAAAGGUGUUGAGUAGAAAUAUUCUCAAAAAUCCUGGGCAUGGGGACUUCCUUGGUGGUCCAAGGGUUAAGACUCUGUGCUUCCAGUGCAGGGGGCUUGGGUUCGAUCCCUGCUCAGGGAAUUAAAGAGUUUCCAUGCCGUGACUGAAGUUCUCACAUGCUGCUACUAAGACCCAGUGCAGCAAAAUUUAAAAAAAAAAAAAAAAGUUGGGCGUAUUCUCCAAACACCUUUCUUUCUUAUUUUUUUUUUUAAGUUAUUUACCACUGUACUCCCAAGGAUUCAAUCAGUUUUUUUACUUUGCUUCUUCACAGUGUUUUCUUUACAAAAAAACUGAAGUAAGAAAAUGACUGUCUGGUGGAGAAUAAAGCAUCACAAUGGCAGCACAAAAGAGUUGCUCCUGGAAUCAAGGCCCUGGGGUCAUGUUACAGCAUCUGCUACUUUCUCACCACAUGACAGUUGAUUGAAUUAUUGUAUAUGUCUGACUCUACAAAGUGGGCAUGCUUCAGUGACUUGUAAUGGUAGAAAUACAGACUCCGGGAUGUGAAGGGCUAGAGUCCUCUGGUGGUGCUCUGGUCUCUCAAGUCUUCUCUAAGUUCUUAUAACUUAAUCGGAGGUGAUACUCAUACAGUGCCAGCACUGGACCUGCUUACUAGAACACACUCAAUUACCUCAUGAGUGGAGUUAGUUCAGUUCAUACCAUACCCUUGGGGUGGGGGGGGGGGGAAGCCUAUUUAUUUUACCUCAUACACAAUUUUUUAUUGUUAAAGGUGUUUAAAUUAAUUGUACCCUUUGUUCCAUGUUGAAAAACAGAACUAAGAUGUAAGUGGUGAUCAAGUAAUUAUAAUUCCAUCAUGCCGGUGUUGUAGGGAAGAAUGAACAGCAAAGAGCCUACCUGAGGAUUAAGUUGUACGAUAAAAGGUUAAUAUUUUCUCAACACAAACAUACGGGUCUCUCCUUCAUCCUGUAACUCUUACAGUUAAUUUUGGUAACUUGAGACACACACAAAGCAUUAAAGCCAACUAGGUCUUCAUUGAUUGCAUGUCCCUUAGAAAAGAUGGAAGUGUAGGGAAAAUUAUUCUUGGUACUACUGAUACAAAUAAAACCAUUAGGUGCCUUUCAGUGUAGUGCAUAUGGUAUCUGAACCUUUGUCACCUAUGAAAUUUUUGUCCAAAUCACUUCGCAGUUGCCGUGUUUUAAAGGAACCCCUCAAAAUCCCCCACUGGUAAGUUCUCCUUUCCCUGUUUUACUGGUUUUGAACCUCAUACCGUUUUACUAAAUAAACAUUUUCUCCCAACUCUUCA